RNAcentral lists this ribosomal RNA (492 nucleotides) under uncultured bacterium. RNAcentral describes it as "partial 16S ribosomal RNA". It matches the Rfam family "Bacterial small subunit ribosomal RNA", at positions 29 to 507 of the family's 1533-position model. The record is from RNAcentral.
AGUGAACGCUGGCGGUAGGCCUAACACAUGCAAGUCGAACGGCAGCACAGUAAGAGCUUGCUCUUACGGGUGGCGAGUGGCGGACGGGUGAGGAAUACAUCGGAAUCUACUUUUUCGUGGGGGAUGACGUAGGGAAACUUACGCUAAUACCGCAUACGACCUACGGGUGAAAGCAGGGGAUCUUCGGACCUUGCGCGAUUGAAUGAGCCGAUGUCGGAUUAGCUAGUUGGCGGGGUAAAGGCCCACCAAGGCGACGAUCCGUAGCUGGUCUGAGAGGAUGAUCAGCCACACUGGAACUGAGACACGGUCCAGACUCCUACGGGAGGCAGCAGUGGGGAAUAUUGGACAAUGGGCGCAAGCCUGAUCCAGCCAUACCGCGUGGGUGAAGAAGGCCUUCGGGUUGUAAAGCCCUUUUGUUGGGAAAGAAAGGCAGCAGGUUAAUACCCCGCUGUUCUGACGGUACCCAAAGAAUAAGCACCGGCUAACUUCGUG